Molecule: long non-coding RNA, 1875 nt
Organism: Arachis stenosperma
Lineage: Eukaryota; Viridiplantae; Streptophyta; Magnoliopsida; Fabales; Fabaceae
Exons: 4
Source: RefSeq, a predicted model, not a curated record
UCAAAGCAUUUGGGUGGUUUAUAAGAUUUCUUGAGCUGUUGAUAAUCUCUAUUACUGGCUUGGAGUCACACUCCACUUUAAUUUUUCUUAUCCUCAAAGUCUAUGCUAGUUCCAUUCCCUUUUUUAUUCCCCACAGUUCCGCUAUAUAAGCUGUGCACCUCUCUAUGUUGAAGGAAAAUCCAGCAACCCAUUUGCCUUUUCUAUUCCUUAAGAGCCCGCCACACCCGACUUUUUUCAUGCUCCCUGCACUGUGCCAUCGGUGUUAAGCAUUAUCCACUCCUGUAUUGGUGGCAUCCAUAUUAUUUUCUGAAUCUCUUUGUUCUUGUGUUUUCGAUUCUCCACCAUUCUCUGAAAUGUUUCCUUGACUUUUGCCACUUUCUUCAUCACUUCAAGUCGAGUAUUUUGGGGCCUGUUAUAAUUUGGCUCAUGAAUUUUCUUAUUUCUCCAAUUCCACAUCUUCCAGCAUGCUAUAAUAAAUAUAUCCAUCCAAUUCUGAUUUUGGUCAUGUCCUAAUUGUUGUUGUAUGUUCAUAUCCAUCCAUUCUUCUCUAUUUGCUUGGAAGAAAAUCUAUAAUGCACUUGGCCGAAUGAGUUGCACCCAAGUACUGAAAACUUUGGGGCAGUUUCUCAGAGCAUGGAGCAGGUCUUCUUAAUGGUUUUGACAUAGCUGAUAAUCUCCUCUACUUGCAAACAUCAUUGUCUUUUUGUGAUUGAAAAAUCCCUAUCAUCCAAGUGCAUCCAUCCAAUUAUGUCUGCACCAUUUUCCUUGUUUGGGCAGGGGGAGCUCCAAAAUCUUCAUUGUUGUUUCCUUUGGGAGUAGCUUUGCAGAAAUUUUCCAUUACUCUGUUGAUUGCCUCCAUUUGGUGUGUUGAAGUAUCAGCAAACAACAGCAGAUUGUCUACGAACAUUUGGCGAGAAAUUUUCAUUUUCUUUCUUCCCACCAUGAAAGGGAUCCAAUAUCCAUGAUUCACCUCUUGCUCUAUGUACUGUGACAGUUUAUCCAUGCAAAUGACAAAUAGGUAUUUUUUCCUAGUCACUCAUCAAUUCUUCAUUUUCGGUCUCUGAUAGGUCUUCAUCGGAUGUUGCUCCAGCUCCAGUGACUAUGUUCGCAUAGAACCUCGUUCUCUAAUUCUCUACUUUAUCUUCCAUCCAAUCUUCAUGACAAGGGAUAAACGCUUGUGUGUCUGAAAACCCAUCUUUCCCUUUCCUAAUCUUCUUUUGUUUCUUGCUUGGUUCUCAUGUUCCUGUGGUGGUCGGGAGUGCUCAUUGGGGGCCCUUUCCGACCUAUCGUUGCCGGUCAUGGGCGGUGGUGGCCGUUUGAAACGUUAGCUUGUGCAGAGAAAAAACAAGGAGGGUGCUAACGGCUCCUUUCUUUUUUUAUUUGUGUUAAGUGAUAACUAAUUAACUAUACCCAUGGGCCAUGGCCCAAGACCCCAAGCUGACAAGUCUAUUUGAGUGGGGAAGAGGCCAUGCUUUUUUAAGUUGGGGGGCCACUCCUUUAUAUAUAUAUAUAAAGGGAAUUUUUUUGGGGGGCUGGAGCCUCAUGAAAUUUCGUCCCAGAUAAUUAGCAUUGGGAGAUAGGUACACGGGCUUGGGCAAAAGGAAAAAAAAUUAGCAAGACUUUAAGCCUAAUCAGGGGUAGCUCUCUUUUUCAAAUUUGAUUCUCUUCUUCAAAUAUCUGUUGCUAACCUAGAGAUAAAGAUGAGCAAGGUAAAUUAUGUUCAUUAUUUAUUAACAAGCAAAUCAUGUGACCAAAUCACUCACAUUAUUGUUGAUUCAAAAUUGAUCAACUACCUCCUCGUGUAAUUCAAUUUCAAUAAGCUAAGAGCAACUUUCUUGUUACGCAUUGUAAUUUCAUACUCUAAUGGCUUUUAAU